UCCCCGGCAGUCCAGCAGUUAGGACUCUGUGUUUCCAAUGCAGGGGGCGCAGGGUCGAUUCCUGGUUGGGGAG
This 73-nucleotide transfer RNA is filed under the name Bos taurus (domestic cattle). It matches the Rfam family "tRNA". Rfam says of the family: Transfer RNA (tRNA) molecules are approximately 80 nucleotides in length. Their secondary structure includes four short double-helical elements and three loops (D, anti-codon, and T loops). Lineage: Eukaryota; Metazoa; Chordata; Mammalia; Artiodactyla; Bovidae. RNAcentral also lists the same sequence under 5 other names. The record is from Rfam by way of RNAcentral.